AGCAGCCGCGGUAAUUCCAGCUCCAAUAGCGUAUAUUAAAGUUGUUGCAGUUAAAAAAGCUCGUAGUUGAAUUUCGGGAUCAAUAUUUCGGUCAUGCCGUUGGUAUGCACUGUUAUCAUUGAUUUCUCACCUUCUAAAGAACCGUAAUGCCAUUAAUUUGGUGUUACGGGGAAUUAGGACUGUUACCUUGAAAAAAAUUAGAGUGUUUAAAGCAGGCUCACGCUUGAAUACAUUAGCAUGGAAUAAUGAAAUAGGACAUCCGAUUCUAUUUUGUUGGUUUCUAGGAUCGAUGUAAUGAUUAAUAGGGAUAGUUGGGGGCAUUAGUAUUCAAUUGUCAGAGGUGAAAUUCUUGGAUUUAUUGAAGACUAACUACUGCGAAAGCAUUUGCCAAGGAUGUUUUCAUUAAUCAAGAACGAAAGUUAGGGGAUCGAAGACGAUCAGAUACCGUCGUAGUCUUAACCAUAAACUAUGCCGACUAGGGAUCGGAGUGAUAGUUAAUUUUUUAAUGUACUCU
RNAcentral lists this ribosomal RNA (514 nucleotides) under uncultured Glomus. Its description in RNAcentral is "SSU rRNA". It matches the Rfam family "Eukaryotic small subunit ribosomal RNA", at positions 569 to 1081 of the family's 1831-position model. Lineage: Eukaryota; Fungi; Glomeromycota; Glomeromycetes; Glomerales; Glomeraceae. The record is from RNAcentral.